This 55-nucleotide transfer RNA is filed under the name Hapalochlaena fasciata. RNAcentral's name for it is "tRNA-Glu". The record is from RNAcentral. Lineage: Eukaryota; Metazoa; Mollusca; Cephalopoda; Octopoda; Octopodidae.
ACCUUUGUAGUGUAAAUAGCACAAGAAAUUUUCAAUUUCUAAGUAUAAUAUUAUA